This 274-nucleotide ribosomal RNA is filed under the name uncultured bacterium. RNAcentral describes it as "partial 16S ribosomal RNA". It matches the Rfam family "Bacterial small subunit ribosomal RNA", at positions 523 to 796 of the family's 1533-position model. The record is from RNAcentral.
AUACGGAGGAUGCAAGCGUUAUCCGGAUUUAUUGGGUUUAAAGGGUGCGCAGGCGGAAAAUUAAGUCAGUGGUGAAAUCCUACAGCUUAACUGUAGAACUGCCAUCGAUACUGAUUUUCUCGAGUGCAGUUGAGGUAGGCGGAAUGUGUAAUGUAGCGGUGAAAUGCUUAGAUAUUACACAGAACACCGAUUGCGUAGGCAGCUUACUAAACUGUUACUGACGCUCAGGCACGAAAGCGUGGGGAGCGAACAGGAUUAGAAACCCGAGUAGUCC